UGUACUGUAACAGAAUGUAAACGUAAAAGUUUAAGUGUAAACAUAAAAGCUGAAAUAAUGGUUAUGUAGUUCUUAUCUUGAUAGAACUGUCAAAGACCAUAUAUAUUAUAAACUAUUACAAUAGAUGUUAAAAACUUACUUGAAUGUAUGACAAGUUUAGCUCCAUUGCCAAAGAUUAUUUUACCACUUGUACCAGUAUACACACCACAUAAAACUGCAUAACAUAAACAGGCUGCUGUAUUGUUUGCAUUCAUUGGCAUCUUGAACUUUUACUGUAUAAACCAAUUUGAUAUCACAGUAUUAUACAGUAACAUAGUGAUCACACUAAACUUAGUCUACUAUAAUAUCUGUAGCACUUUGUCAAAUCUAAUUAAGAUUUUGAGUGACUGAAAAGUUCCUGAACUGAACAUUACAAGAUUAUAUAUGUUCCUGUUUGUCGCACUACACUUAUAUCAGCAGUUACCUAUGAAAUAGCCAUGACCAUUACCAUUAUUUUAUUUUCUGAGCACCGUUUACAACUGAUUUGGCAAAAUCCAAUAGACUUACGUGUUUCCACAAUCACUUUAGUGCCAUGUCCAAAGAUGAUUUUGUUCCCUGUCUUCACACCCAGCAACACACCAUGUCAAAAACUACCAACAGCAAUCAUAGCAUUCUGUCUUACUUUUAUCUGAUACACGGGGGAUCUUUAUAGCUAAAGAGGAUUAUUCUAAGAAACGCUGGAUCGCUCAACAAAGAGCUCAACGAAUCUGUUGCAUUACAUAACAUUAUGACAAUUUUCCAUACAAUAUAAUCUAGAUAUGCCAACCUGAGUGAAUUUUAAAACGACAAAUAUCUACUAAUGUUAAUGUUGAUGUGGGAGAAUUGUUGGAGCGCAAUUUGAAAUUUCAUUUUUGAGAUAAGACUUAAUGAUGAACAAAUUUAAAUCAAACACUUACCUGAUUCAACGAUAACUUUAGUACCAUUUCCAAAUAUUAUCUUAUAGCCCCCUCCACUCACAGUCACACUGCACAGAGGACUAUGUCAAAUACUACCUCAUCAGAUACUGCUGUACUUCUCAAGGUCAUUAAACAGAUACUGUGGAAUAUUUCAUUGAUUUUUGUGCGGUCAAAGAAAGAGCUUGAAGCUGUCGAUUUAGAUUUUUUGAUAUUUAGUAUAUUUAGUAUUUAUAUUUAGUCUUGGUCAAUUUCAACUACAGAGGUCAAUGUGCAAGUCCUGUGAUGUAUCACUGCUUACACAGAGGCAAAUAUGUUGUUUUAUAUUGCUUUCACUGACAAAGAUUAUAAUUUGCUUGAUUAUAUACAAGUAAACACCCAGUGGAGGAAUUCAAGGAAACCUUUUAGUGGCAAACUCUAGUCAAAUUAUCAUGACUUGCAGAUUUGUCUAACCUGCCAUAUGUCUUUGGAGUAACUCUUACACUGGUAUCAAAUAUAAAUUUGAAUACAAAAUAAACGUAUGAUACAAAAGUAAAAGUCAAGGGCACUAUGGAGGUGAGUAUGAAUUAUACAGACUUACGUGAUUCCACAAACAGUUUAGUGCCAUGUCCAAACACGAUCUUACUGCCUGUACCAGUAUUCACACUGAGCUACGUGGCAUGGCAAAAACUAUGUGCACUUCCCAAGCACUUUUAAUGUAUUGUGCAAAAUUGCCUAUGGCUCACGUAAAGGAAACAUUUGAGCUCUGGGUAUUUACUUUUGUUGUAUGAACUCCACUAUAGCAAUUUUUGAUGAAUGUCCUCAUGAUGUUCAGAUUCAGUCUGAGUCAGAUAAAAUCACUUAAUUGAACGAUUAUUUUGUUUCUGUGUCAGCUUCACUUGGUUUCUCUCAGAAAUGAAAACGCAACGCUUUAACAUGCAGCUCUGUGUUUAACUUAGACUGUUGACUAUGUGAAAGAAUUUCGCUGAGAUUCAUCGUCUUUGACAGAAUCAUAUGUUUGAAACACUUACCUGUCUUUAGUGCCAUUUGUUAUCUCUAAAUGCUAUAUAAAUACUAUAUAAAGGAUUCUACCCAAGCGAGAGGGCUGUUUUUUUAGGUAUUACACCUAAACAUUAUCGACACAUAGCAAGCAAAGACCUGGAUGACCAUAUAACUUAAACCCCAUCAGUAAUGUCAGUACAACACAAAAAUGUAUAAAUUGUGUUAAUUUAAAAGCUUGGAAUAGUUGGUGGGUGCACAAGGUUGAUCAGAAUGAUUAUACUCACUUGGCUGUACAACUAGCUCUGUUCCAGAUCCAAAUAUCAGUUUGUUGUUGGAUGAGGAUAACCACAGUGCUACAUUCACUAACAUAAAACCAGCCAUGGUCAUAAAACAGUAUUCUCCCCUUAGUUCUUGUUCUUGUCUUGUACAAAAUGAUAUUUACAACUAAACUAUAUUAAAUAAUAAACUAUAUAACACUAUUGAGUUAUACACUAUUCAGCCAUAUUAUAUAUGAUUGCAUAUUUUUGAACCUGAGGCUUUUGUAACUUUAACAAGUGAGAGAAUGGUUUUGACAUACAGAAUUGGCAUCAUACACACAAUUAGCUACAUUAUACAGUAUUAUAUAUGUCUAACCUGUGAUGCUGUCUUGGAAUCCUCCACUGACACCCAACCAUCAGGAUCCACCAGUGGCCAUCGAAAAGGACAAAAAAAAAACAAUCCUGGUCAGGUCUAGUGUAAGGCCAACAAUGCAGCAGACUGCACAUGGAGCAGCGUACAUGCAGUGCCAAAUAACUUGUUUCCGUAAGUCAUAAAAUAGCUCCAAAAACUUGAUCCCAGUUGCUGCCCACAAUAGGCCAAGGCUCAUGGUCUUAGAGACAAUUGAAAAUAAUUUAGAAAAACAAAAAGAGUUGCGACACCUCCAUCUGGGAUCUGGGAGCCAUGUGUAAACUGCGGCUUUCUUCUCAUGAUGUGCAUCAAUGGUCUCUGACAGUCACGUUUGUGUACAAGAAGCUGACUAAGAGAUGCCAUGCUGUCUAGUACACACACUGUUGACCCACUAGCCUACUUUAAACUGACAGCACUAUGCUCUAUGCACUAUGCUCCUAACAGGAGACAGUCACCUGUGGCCUAUAUCUCUAAUGCAGCUCAGCAUUCUUUUAAAUAACCAUGAAGAGCAAACUAACUUCUGGGGGCCAAUUCUCAUAAAAGCUCACAGCAUCCAACUAAAUGUCUAGUGAAGAGUAAUGUAUGUCUAAGCACAGAAUGAUUCUUAAAUAAACUAGGAAAAUGUCAUUAUCUACUUUAGUAUUCAUAUAUUAAAACGUUUUGGUGCUACAUAGGUCUGCAUAUGAUGACAAGAAGAGCCCCUGCCUGUCCAGUGAGGCCUUGUAUUGUGACUACCAUGUUUGAGCAGUAGGGGUCACUAGUUCACUCUGUGGAACUAACAGGGGGCAAACUCACAUUCUUCCCGUGCUUCUCACAACCUCUUCACUGGAUGCACUGAAACACAGAGAAGAGAUCAUGUCACUGGACCAGUCAGAAUUAUUCCUAAAUUCAGUUAUUCUGAACACUAUAGAAAAGAACACAACAUUUUGUGGAUUGUUUGUUGAAUAACCUUACAUCAGUCGGUAGAUGAUGGACAGUAUGCUUACGUUCACUUUUGAUCACAAGGGAGGCACUGGGAGAGGCCUACAGGCAUGCUGUUGACCUGCAAUGGCACAGUGUGUGAGCAUACAAUGGGGGGGGGGGAAUGACUUCCUUGGCA
Long non-coding RNA from Clupea harengus (Atlantic herring), 3678 nucleotides. Lineage: Eukaryota; Metazoa; Chordata; Actinopteri; Clupeiformes; Clupeidae. The record is from Ensembl.